Molecule: ribosomal RNA, 422 nt
Filed under: uncultured archaeon
Lineage: Archaea
Description: partial 16S ribosomal RNA
Rfam family: Archaeal small subunit ribosomal RNA
Source: RNAcentral
CUACGGGAGGCACCAGGCGCGAAACCUUUACAAUGCACGAAAGUGUGAUAAGGGGACUCUAAGUGCUUAUGCUUUGCAUAGGCUUUUGCCAAAAGUAAAUAUUUUGGCGAAUAAGUGGUGGGAAAGACGGGUGCCAGCCGCCGCGGUAACACCUGCGCCACGAGUGGGAACCGCUUUUAUUGGGCCUAAAGCGUCCGUAGCCGAUCUAGUAAAUCUUCUGUGAAAUUGUUCUGCUCAACAGACCAGUGUGCAGGAGACACUGCUGGAAUUGGAACUGGGAGGAGUCAGAAGUAUUUUGGGGGGAGCGGUAAAAUGCUAUAAUCCCCGAAAGACUACCUGUGGUGAAAACGUCUGACUAGUACAGAUUCGACGGUGAGGGACGAAAGCUAGGGGAGCAAUCCGGAUUAGAUACCCCGGUAGUC